RNAcentral lists this ribosomal RNA (427 nucleotides) under uncultured Comamonadaceae bacterium. RNAcentral's name for it is "bacterial SSU rRNA". It matches the Rfam family "Bacterial small subunit ribosomal RNA", at positions 355 to 774 of the family's 1533-position model. The record is from RNAcentral. Lineage: Bacteria; Pseudomonadati; Pseudomonadota; Betaproteobacteria; Burkholderiales; Comamonadaceae.
UGGGGAAUUUUGGACAAUGGGGGAAACCCUGAUCCAGCCAUGCCGCGUGCAGGAUGAAGGCCUUCGGGUUGUAAACUGCUUUUGUACAGAACGAAAAGGUCUCGGAUAAUACCUGAGGCCCAUGACGGUACUGUAAGAAUAAGCACCGGCUAACUACGUGCCAGCAGCCGCGGUAAUACGUAGGGUGCAAGCGUUAAUCGGAAUUACUGGGCGUAAAGCGUGCGCAGGCGGUUAUGUAAGACAGAUGUGAAAUCCCCGGGCUCAACCUGGGAACUGCAUUUGUGACUGCAUAGCUUGAGUGCGGCAGAGGGGGAUGGAAUUCCGCGUGUAGCAGUGAAAUGCGUAGAUAUGCGGAGGAACACCGAUGGCGGAGGCAAUCCCCUGGGCCUGCACUGACGCUCAUGCACGAAAGCGUGGGGAGCAAACA